This 253-nucleotide ribosomal RNA is filed under the name uncultured bacterium. RNAcentral's name for it is "partial 16S ribosomal RNA". It matches the Rfam family "Bacterial small subunit ribosomal RNA", at positions 524 to 776 of the family's 1533-position model. The record is from RNAcentral.
UACGAAGGGUGCAAGCGUUACUCGGAAUUACUGGGCGUAAAGCGUGCGUAGGCGGUCUGUUAAGUCCGUUGUGAAAGCCCUGGGCUCAACCUGGGAAUUGCAGUGGAUACUGGCAGGCUAGAGUACGGUAGAGGAUGGUGGAAUUCCCGGUGUAGCGGUGAAAUGCGUAGAGAUCGGGAGGAACACCUGAGGCGAAGGCGGGCUACUGGGCUGAUACUGACGCUGAGGCGCGAAAGCGAGGGGAUCAAACGGG